GAAACUUGGAGAGAGACAUGGAACAGAUUCUCCCUUGGUGCCUCCGGAAGGAACCAACACUGCUGACACUGAUUUGAGAUUUCUAUUAUCUUGAACAGGGAUGCAACAAAUUUCUGUUGUUUGAAGCUACCCUCUAGGCAGUUUGUUAAAUCAGCCCCAGGAAACUAGUACAUUUUGUAUGGGAGGAUACGGCAUAGCAAAAUGCAAUAUCCACCUAAAUAUAAUGCAUCUAUAUAUGAUACACAACUGUCUCCUUGGGGUAACUAUUCAGAGAAAUACUCUAUUUAGGCCCAGUCAUAAUUGCUGUGUACUUUUCACUUUCCAAUAAGGAAACUGGAAAUUCUGGUGUACCAAGAGCAUAGAGAAUUAAUACACUUCAAACAUUAUAUAAUUAAGUAGCUAUUCAUUGAUUCAAGUAGUACAAUUAAUUAAUUGGAAACUUUUUUCAAAAGCUCAAUAUUUGAAAAUGCCAUCAUGAUUCCCUAUGGAGAAGUACAAAUAGACUAAGGAAUUAAAAUGACUGCAUUCAAAAAUCCUGAUCCUUUCAUUAUGGACUGCUAAUCCUGGAUUUAGGAGAUGAACUCUGAUUUAUGGGCUUGAGAAGUAAAUGAUCCAGAAAGUUCCUGGAGAGGGAGAAGAAUAUGAUGGAAAAGGUAUGUUUUUCCAUAUAUCUGUUUUAACUGUACUAAUCAUGUAAUCUCAUGUCUGCUAUUAUUUAUGGUUUCUGUGCUUCGGCAUAAUUUAAAUUGCUCAUGAUACAUGCAGAAUUCCCAGAAAUAUGUGCAGUUCUUAACCACAGCAGUUAAUAAAAACAAAGCCAUUAGCUACUAAAAAGGAAAUCAAACGUUUGAGGCCAUUUCCACAUCAAUGAUACAAAUGGAUCAAAAAGGCCUCAAAUCAGAUUUUGUUGUCACACAGACAAAAAAAUAUAUGCUUAGGUAACUGAAUUUGAAUUUGAAUUUUCAAAAUAAACACAGAUUUUGGUCAAAGUGGUUUGUGUAGCUUGAUAGAACUAAAACUUGUCAAGAGUUUUAAGCUGAAAGUCAGCUAUGGAAAUCUAGGCACUACUAAGCCUACUUUCUCAAAGGCAAAAAAAUGAAUAAUGUAUUUUUCACUGACCAUGGAGAAAAUGAUUAUGGGGAUCAUUUAUGUACUGAGAAAAAGGUUUGGGAGUUUAUCUGACCACAGGUUAAAAAUAUUAGCCAACAGUGUGAUGUGGCUGCUGAAUAAGCUCACACAAUCUUAAGCUACAUUUGUAAUAGUAAUGAUAGCUUCUAUGAGUGUAUUGCUUUACAUUGUAAAGAAUGCUUACACACAGAUGAUCUCAUUUUACAUAGUAACCAGAAUACAGGAAGUCAGUAUUGUUCUCUGAAUGACCUAAACACAUCUGUUGUAUGGUCUCAUAUUAUAAGGAAUAUAGUGACACCUUUCACUAGACUAUAUUCAGAAGAGGGUAGGCUUAAUAGCAUAAAGUUUCUAUAAGAAAUUAUUGACAUUUAAUAUAAAAUAUGUAUAUGGGGUAAAAAUGGGAGCUCAUAACCCACUUGAAUCAAAUUGUGAAAUAUGAUAUAUCAAGAACUAUGUAAUGUUUUGAACAGCCAACAAUAAAAAAUGUAAAAAAAAAGAAUUAUUUAGAAUAUGGAGAAAAACAAUGCCAAAUGUUUUCUCUGAUAUAAGGAGGCUGAUUCAUAGUGGGGUAGGGAGGGGGAGCAUGGGAGAAAUAGAUGAAUUCUAGAUAGGGCAGGGGGGUGGGAGGAAAAGAAGAGGGCAGGGGAUUAGCAAGAAUGGUGGAAUAUGAUAGUCAUCAUUAUCCAAAGUACAUGUAUGAAGACUUUAUACACAACCAGAGAUAUGAAAAAUUGUGCUCUAUAUGUGUAAUAAGAAUUGUAAAGCAUUCUUCUAUCAUUUUUUUAAAAAAUCAAUAAAAAGAAUAUGAAAAAAAGAUAAAAAAAUAUAUAUAAAAUCUACUUCUUUGGGGGGGAUAUUAGCAAUUGAACUCAGAGGCACUCAGCCACUGAGCCUCAUCACCAACCCAAUUUUGUAUUUUAUUUAGAGACAGGGUCUCACUGAGUUGCUUAGCACCUCUCUUAUUGCUGAGGCUGGCUUUGAACUCAUGAUCCUCCUGCCUCAGCCUCCAGAGCUGCUGGGAUUACAGGUGUGUGCCAGUAUGCCUGGCUGAAAUCUACUUACAACAAAUUUGUUAAUACAUAGCACAGUAUGGUUACCUAUAUACCUAUUGUUGUUUGUCAUAACUUUUUCAUCUUGCAUGACUGAAACUCUACAUUUAUCUAUAUUCAUUGUAUUCCUCAUAUUUACUUCCCCAAUCCCUUUAAACCAUUAUUUUACAUUCUGCUUCUAAGAAAUAUAUUAGAUGACCUUAUGCAGUAUUUGUCGUUUCGUGACUGUCUUAUUUCACUAAGUGUUCACUAAAUAUAAUCUCCUCAAGGUUAAUUCAGAUCACAGGAGUUCCUUCAUUUUCAAGGAUAAAUAUAUUCUAUUGUAUGCAUGUAACACAUUUUAUUUAUCCAUUCUUCUGACAAUGGAUGUUUAGGUUAUUUCUAUCUCUUGGCUAUUGUGAAGAGUGCUGCAGUGAACACAGGAAUGUAAAUAUCUCUUUAAGAUUCUGAUUUCAAUUCUUUUUGGACAAGACAUAAAAAUGGGAUUGUUGGAUGAUUCGUUUCUAUUUGUUUGUGUGCUUGUAAUUAAACCCAGGCCGUUGUACAUGCUAGGCAAGCACUCGGCCAUUGAGCUAUACCACUAGCUCCUAUUUUUAAAUUUUUCAAGACCUACUAUACUGUUUCCUACAGAGAUUGUGCCAUUAUACAUUUUCACCAAUGGUACACAAAUUUUCCAAUUUCUCCAUAUUCUCACUAUCCCUUCUUUUUUUCUCAGUCUGUUUUUUUUUUUAUGAAUAGCUAUUCUAAUGGGUGCAAGAUGAUAUCUCACUGUGGUUUUGGCUUUUAUUUCCCUGAUCAUUAGUGAUUUCUAUCAUUUUUUGCUCUGCCUAUCAACCAUAUAUAAUAUAUUCUUUGGGAAUAUCUAUUCAUGUCCACUUCCAGUAUUUAAUCAGGUUAUAUUUUGCUAUUUUUUAUUAAGUUGUAGUAGUAAUAUCUAUAUUUUGGAUAUUAACCCCUUAUCAGAUAUAGAGUUAAUAUUUCCUCACAUUUCAUAGGUGUUUUUUCACUUGAUUAUUUCCUUCACUUUACAGACACUUUCCAGUUUGCUGUUGUCCCACUUGCUUAUUUUUGCUUCAGUUUUCUGUACUGCUGCUGUCAUAGCAAAAAAAAAAAAAAAUCAUUGCCAAUACUAAUGUCAUUAAGCAUUUCCCUUGUGUUUUCUUCUGGGAUUUUUAUAGUUUCAGGUUUUAUGUUUAAAUCUUUAAUCCAUUUUGAGUUGAUUUGGGGGUAUGGUAUGAGAUAAGAGUCUAAAUACAUUUUUUUUCAUGUGGAUACACAUUUUUCCCAAGGCUGUUUGUUUUGGGAUACUAUUCUUUUCCCAUUGUGUAGUCGUCACCCAUUUAUUUAUGAUCAUUUGACCAAACAUUUGCAGCUUUAUAUAUGGGCUCUUUUGUUCUAUUCAUCUAUAUGGUUCUCCUUAUUCCAGUACUGUACUGUUUUAAUUAUUACAGAUUUGUUAUAUGUUUUGAAUACAGAACGUGUGAGGCUUCCAGCUAUGUUUUUAUUUCUCAAGGUUGUUUUGGUUAAUUGGGAACCUCUGUGGUUUUGUUUCAGUUUUAGGAUCUUUUUUCUAUUUGUGCAAAAAAAAUGCAAAUAGAAUUUGGAUAGCUAUUGUACUGAAUCAGUAGAUUACUUUGAGUUGUAUGAACAUUUUAACAAUACUUAAUCUUCUACCUGAAGAAUGGGGGCUGUCUUUUCAUUACUUGUACCUUCUAUAAUUUAUUUCAGCAAUGUUUUUAGUUUUCAGUGCACAAGUCUUCUACAUCCUAUGUUAAAUAUAUUCCUAAGUAUUUUAUUCUUUUAGUGCUAUAAAUGGGAUUUUUAAAAUUUCCUUUGUAUUUUGUUCAUUCUGAAUCUAUGGAAAUGGAAAUAUUCUUUCUAAAAUAUGUUUUAGAACUUUUAUUUGUUUAUUUUUAUGCAGUGCUAAAGAUUGAACCCAGUGCCUCACAUGUGCUAGGCAAGCACUCUGCCACUGAGCCCCAGCCCCAGCCCUAAAAAUAUUCUUUGUAUGUUGAUUUUGAUUAAUGCAACAUUGGUUAAGUUUCUUAUUUUAACAGUUCUUUUUAGUUUUCUUCCUACCUAGAUGAUCAAGUCAUCUGUAUAUAGAUACUUGCACUUCUUUCUUUCUGAUUUGAAAAUUUUUUUUCUUGCCUAAUUGCUCUGGCCAGGACUUCAUUUACUAUGUUGAAUAAAAGUAGCAAGAUUGGGUAUCUUUUUCUCGUUCUUAAUAUUGUAGGAGAAGCUUUCAAUUUUGUAUCAUUGAGUAUGAUAUUAACUGUAAGGUUUUAUAUAUGGCUUUUAUUCUGUUAAAGUAAUUUUUUAUUUCCACUUUGUUGCAUAUUUUUUAUUAUCAAAUUGUAUUGAAUUUUGUAGAAGUAAAGUUCUGUCAAUGUUUGGAUCACAUAUUUGGUUGUUCUGAAUUUGGGUGUAUAUGUACUUAUAAUUGUACAUGACUGGUAAAUUGACAGUUUUUGUUAUUACACUGUAUCAUUCUUGGUUUGUCUGAUAAUUUUGACAUAAAAUAUAUUUUAUCUGAUAUCUAUGAUCACAUAUUUUCUUCUUUGGUUAUCAUUUACAUGGAUAUAUUUCUAUCCUUCACUUUCAUCCUAUAUUUGUACUUGAAUCCAGGGUGAAUUUUUUGUGGAGAGCAUAUGGUAGUAUCUCUCUCUUUUAAUCCAUUUAAUCAAUCUAUGUCUUUUGAUUGGGAGCUUAAUUCAACUACAUUUAAAGUAAUUACUGAUAGAAAAAGACUUAGUAUUAUCAUUUUAUUGUUUUCUGUCUUCUAGCCCCACCCCCCAUUCCUUUUUUUAUUUUGCUCCUCUGACUAGACUGUUGCCUUGAAGUUCUUUGAUUCUUUCUUCUGAUUGGUCAAGUCUGCUCUUGAACUCCUCUAGUGAAUUUUUCAAUUCAAUUAUUGUGUUCUUCAUCUCUAAAAUUCCUUUGGGAUAAAAAACAGAUUUAUACCUCUGUUGAUAUUCUCAUUUUGUUCAUGUGCACUUUUACUCUUCCUUAUUUCCACUAAAAAAUAAUUUUACUAAGCCUCUUCAGUAUCAUUAUAAUGAUUAUAAUAAAUUAUUUUUCAGGUCAUCCACAUGUGUCCAUUUCUCAAGGGUCAGCUUAUGAAAAUUUAUCUUGUGCCCUUUAUUGGGCUAUAUUUUCAUGUUCUUCACGUAUCUUGUAACUUUGUGUUGGAAUACACACAUUUGAAAAUAAUAGUCACCUUUCCUGCUGUUCAUAGACUAUAUUUGUGUAGGAAAAGACCUUAAUCUACCCACCUAGAAAUUCUUGGGUCAUAUCAAACCUUUCAGACAGCAAUGGGUGUGCCUUCUCUGGGAUUAUGUUUAUAAUUUUUCAGUUAAAGAACUUUGCCAAUUUAUGUUUUUCAGCAGUUUUUACUUUUUUUUUUCACUUUUAACUCUGUCUGCCAUACUGCAGGUUCUCUUGCACUACUUCAAGCCUCUAAGCUCUUUUUGUUCUCUAUGUUUCCUAGGUAUCCAAAUAUGGUGGUCACAUUAGUAUCCAAGUAAGGUAAGAUAGAAAUCAGUCUCUUUGGGAAUUCCCCCAAAAGUCAGAAUGUUAGAUGAAUAUUCUCUCUCCCAAGGUGCAAUCUACUAGUUUUGCUUUUCUUCCCAAUUGUAAGCUAUCAUUUGGAGGAGAGACUGACAUGGUUGAAAAGCAAAUAUUUUUCUUAUGUAAUUUAACAUGGUUAAAUUUCUUAUGUAAUUUAACGUAGUUUUCUGGGGUGCUAUGAAUUCCUAUAUGAUUUUUAGAGUUCUAAUAAAAGCAUUUUGGAUGGUAUAUUGCUGUGAAGUUCUUAUUUAUGUGGGAAAACAUUGUAGGGUCUUCCAAUUACACAUCUUUCUAGUAUUACCUCCUGCCCUAUAUUGCUUGUUUAUACCAUUCUUCUCCCUCCUUAUUUGCUUAGGGCCAUGCUUGCCUCUAAGCCACCUUUGUUUCUCCACAGAUCCUACACACAGUAGGUAUUCAAUAAAUAUUAACUGAAUGAGCCCUAUCAAUAAUUCUAAUUAAGAAUGAGAGAGUACCUUCUUGAAGCUUUGGUUCAUUAAGAGUAGGUGUUUCCUUUGUUAUGAAAUAUACCAAAGUAGGAGCUUAUAUUUUUAGGUUGGUGAUAUACAUUAACUGAAACUAUAUUAUCAUGAUACAAUUUUGUGAAGAUUUUAAAAUUAUAUUUAUUAUUGUAAACUUGUAUACUUAUUGUGAUAGAUAUAAGAAAGAGAUAUUAAGAAGAAACAGGAUUCUUAUUAUUGAAAACUAAAAGAUAAAACAAGAGAGUUUGAGGAGGUAGUGUUCAUCACACACUAAACAUCUAUUGUGUUCCAGGCAAGGUUCUAGCAGAGAAAUCCUUCAAUGUUGCAAAAGAGUGUAUAAAGAUCCUGAGAAGUAAGAGGAUACAGAGUCCUAGAUUUGAGGUGUGCCUGAGAAGCUUCUUGUAAUGCAUAAAUGUUCAUAAGUAAAAUGAUUAAAUUAUGAGACCUAUCACCUAAUGAAUGACAUUCUUGUCUGAAUGAACUCACUGGAUGGUAACUAUAGACAGGUAAGGUAUGGCUGGAGGAGGUGAGUCAUUGUGGACAUGCCACAGAAGGGUGUAUUGUCCCUGUGCCCCUUCUCUCCACCUGAUUCUCCUUCCUAGGUGCCAUGAGGAGAGCAACUUCUCUCUACCGCACCCUGACUCCAUGUACCCAGAGUAAUGGAGUUAGCCAUCUGUGAACUGAGGCCUCUGAAACAGUGAGCUUCACAUAAACUUUUCCUCCUCUAAGUUGUUCUUGUCAAGUGUUUUGGUCACAGAAAUGAAACAGCUAACUAAAACAGAGAAAAUUACCCAAUUAUGUAAUCAUAAGGAUACUGAGAGAUGAGUUUCAAUAAAGUGGUGGGGGUGAAGUUAAAUUUUGGUGAGAUAAGAAAUAAAUGAUAUAUAAUAAAACAGAUGCUCUGUAUAUACUUUUCCCCCAAACAAUUAGAUAGGGACAGGAAAAAGAUGGAAUAGUAAAUCCUGAAAAGAUACAGGAUAUCAAGGGAAUAUGUACGCAUGUGUGUGUGUGUGUGUUUGUGUGUAUACACACAUACAUACAUACAUAUAUUUAUAUGUGUAUAUAUGUGUAUAUAUAUAUGUAUAUAUACAUAUGGAGAGAGAAUUUACUCUAAUUAUUAUAAUUAUUAUAGGAUCUAAUUUCAAAUUACAGUUGCAAGAAGAAAUAAUUGAUGGUUUCUAAAAUAUAUGGGAAGGAUACAAAUAAGGGCAGAGGUAGAUAAUUUAAAUUUGGAAAGUUAGGGAGGGAGAGAUAAAAUAAUAUGAUACUUUGAAAUACAGGGGAAGAAAACUGAGUCAUUUUACAUUAAAUUGUCUUGGUCUAUUUUCCCAGUGGCUGGAUAUGACAUGGGUUUAAGACCUAUAGAUGAGAUAAAUUACACUAAGUUUCCUUCACUGCAAAUAAAGACCAUAGAAUGGAGUUAUAACACUGAGAAGAGUAGAUUAAAUACAAUGAAACAAUCCCUUAUAAAAACAGGUGGAAGAUGACUACUAGAAUUAUUUAUGGGAAAUUAUUAAUGUAAAUCAAAUAGAAUGUUGAAGAGACAAGAGCCUAAUGAAACAAUAUAACCAUGGACUUGCCUUUUAUAAAUGAGAAGUUAAUUCUUAUUCAGCUAUUUCUACACAUUAUUACAUGAAGGCAGGGUUUCCCUCUGAUCUUCAAAUUUUAACCCACUCCCACUGCUAUUGGCUCAUUAUUUAUUGUUGUUUACCUCCUCUCUUACUUAAACUUCUUUGUAUGUCCUAAGAAUGUAAAAACUAAAAUCUCAGGCUCAAUGUUAGGAAUAAAUAAUUAAAUGUAUGCAUACAGAAGCAACCUGCAAUAUAUAAUAGCUACUUGUUUGAUAUACAAAAUAUUCAUUCAUGAGAACAGCUGUUAUUAGGUUAAUAAAGUGUUUGGAUAUGAGAUGUUCCCCCCAAAGCUCAUGUGGCGAUGCACAGAUAUUCAGAUAUUAAUGAUUAGAUUAUAAGAGCUAUAACCUCAGCAGUGGAAUAAUUCAUUUAAUGGAUUAAUAGUUUGAAUGUAUUUGUAGGUAGUGACUCUAGGCAGGUAGGGCAUGGCUGGAAAAAGUAGGUAACUAAGGGUAGGCCCCUGGGGAUUAUAUUAUGCUGGCUCCUUGCACUCAAGCUCUCUGCUUCCUGGCUUCCAUGAGCUGAAAAGCUUUUCUCCAUCACACAAUUUUACCAUGAUUUUUCUGCCUCAUUUGUGUCCAGUGUAAUGACUUGGCCAACCCAGGGACUGAACCAUGAGCCCCAAAUAAACUUUUCCUCUUCUAAAUUGCUUUUGUCAAGUAUUUUGGUCACAGCAAUAAAAAACUGACAUAUGUAAGCUAACUACCUGGCUGAGAAUAAAAGUAGAAACACAAAAGUAGGUAAAUUAUUCCUGUAACACAUUCAUACGUAUAUAAUAUCAGUCAUGAUAAUUUUUGAGCUGACUAAUAAUGGUUGUGCUAAGAAUCAUGUAUUUAGUUGAUUCCUCAUGAAUAUGUUCAGUUAAACUGCCUGCUACAAGUGUCAAUGGCUAAAGGAAUCUUUCUAUCAUGCUAAUUUACAUAAUUCUUUAAGAAAUUAAUUAAAUAGUACCUAAAAUGGUUUGAGUUCCUUUGAGAAUUAUAUUGCAUAAAUAAGAGGUGUUAUUAUUAAAGUUGACCCUUUCCUUUCCUCAAUUCCUUUAUAUAGAGUUGGUAUAUAUUUCUUUAAUUACAAAGCACUCUCAUAUUCCCAUAAUUGAGCUAAGGGGGUUUUCAAACUGGGCCUUGACAAAAAUUCCUUCUCUUAUAUUAUAUUACACAUUACAUCACACAUUCGCAUUCCUUUUAUUCCUUUGCUAACUCAUCAUCACAAUCAGCCUUGACACAUGCUGAGAGCCAUAGCUAAGUAGGUACACACAUGGCAAUUUCCUUGUCAGCCUACCCCAUGUUGCUUAGAGGAAGGACUCUCCAUUGUGGACCCAGGUCAUUUGCAGUGACUUUGCAUGAAAGGUGACCUUGCUCAAGGACCAGGGCGGAUCCAGGUUUAGGGCGGAUCCGGGUUUAGGGCAGAUGGGGUUUAGGGCGGUUCCAGGUUUAAGGUGAUUCCUGCUGGGAAUAGGGCAUAUCCUGCUGCCUCAGGCGCCUUGAGUUCCCCUUGAGUUCUCGCGGGAUUCAGAGAGUAUUUGGGAUUCAGAGCCUGGUGGAGAGUGUGGAUUUUGCCCAGAACGUACGUGUAGAGUGCCGGUGACAGUUCGGGAAUAAAGAAUUGCUGUUUGAAUCUGCAAGGCUGUGAGUGGCUCAUGAUUUUGUGCCCAGCCAGACUGCAGCAGACACACACCAUGGUUAUCAUCUCAACAAGUUAAAAUCUUAAGCUUAGCUAUGAAUGGAACAUUAUCUAUACUAUCUUAUAAUGAUAACCAGUUUUCAGGUAUGGCUAUAGCUAUCAAAUUAUUUUACCAUUUGAGAAGGAGUUGGGGCCUAACUUGCAAAGAUUAAAAUGUCAAAAUAAUACUAUCUUAAUAAUUUUUAUUUUCUUACUAAAGCAGUUCAAACUAGAUAGCCUUUUAACUUGCCAUAUCUGAUCAUUCUUACCCUCUGUCCAAAAAUCUAUUUUAAAAAAGAAGUAGCAGGAGGGCUGGGGUUGUGGCUCAGCAGUAAUGCACUUGCCUGGCAUGUGUGAGGCACUGGGGCACAUGUGUGAGGCACUGGGAUUGAUUCUCAGCACCACAUAUAAAUAAAUAAAAUAAAGGUCUAUCAACAACUAAAAAAAACCUUUAAAAAAAGUAGCAUGGGUAAGCCAUCAGUAUAAGAGAAGUGAAUAAACAAUGCUACUAAUAUUAAUGGGCAUUAUGGUUAAGUAUGGCUAUAUACAUAUCUCCAAGGAAGAAACAAACCCAUAAUAAUAUAUACUGGGAUGAUCAUUAUUUUUUAAAAAGUGAAUGAUAAAAAGUGUUAUCAGAAAUGUGGAAAAAAUUUUUAACUUUUCUAUAUUAGUUCUAAUGUAAAAUGGUGUAAUUACUUAGGAACAUUGUCUGGCAAUUCCUAUGAAGAUUAAACAUAGAAUGACUAUAUGACCAGAAAUUCUACUCCCAGGUGUAUAUAUAUAUAUAUAUAUAUAUAUAUAUAUAUAUAUAUAUAUGAGAAAUUAAAACAUUUGUCCACACAAAAAAAAUUGUAUGAGAAAAUUUAUAGCAGCCUUCAUCAUAAUAGCCAAAAAGUACAAUAAACUGAAAUGUCUAUCAACUGAUGAAUAGAUAAACAUAAUAUAGUAUUUCCAUAUGAUGGAGUAGUAUUUGGAAAUAAAAAGGAAUUAAGAUUUUAUACAUACUACAACAUGAUUAAAUAUGAAGAUAUUAAGAACAAUAUGACGGGAACAAUAUGUUAAGUGUCAGAAGCCACUCACAAAAAAUAACAUGUUGUAGAUUUUUUAUGUUAAAUGUAUAGAAUAGGCAAAUAUAUAGUGACAUAAAGCUCAUUGGGUUGCCUGGAGAAAACGAUGAGUGACCAAAGACUGACUGAGGAUGGGGAAAUGAGAGUGCUUCUUAUCAGGGUGAUAAAAAUAUUUUGAUUGUGAUAUUUGCACAACUCUCUAAAUAUAUUAAAUAAUUUAAAUGGGUUAAUUGAAUGAUUUAUAAUCAUGCCCCAAUAAAUCUGUUAAAAUAUUGUGAGUAGUUGUGCCUAUCUCAUAGAACUACUGGGAAAAUUAAUGUGAUUAUUCAUAUAAACUACUUAAUAUAUAAUACCUAGUACACAAUCAAUAGCUCUAUUGUUAAUAAUAACUUUAUUAUAUUAUUAUUGAUAGUGCUACUACUAUAAAUACUGCUACUACUAAUUCUUAAUUGUAUUAGUAGAACAAUUAUUAAAUAAAUAUUAUUAUAGUGGCAAUAACAACUAUUCUUAGAUUUAUUAAAUUAAUACUAAGUAUUACUAUUACUUAUUAAUGUUAUUAUUAAUGGUAGAAUUAUAAAAUUGUAAUAAUUAUUAUUGUUAAUUAUUUAACUGCCCAUAUUAGACUGAAUUUUUUUCUAGGAAAGAUUUUAUUCUAGGAGCUUUUUUUAUAGAUAAUGUGAUCAACCCUAGUAUAAUAUAAUAAAAAUAACAUAAACUUUGGAGUCAGACAGAUCGGAUUGAAAUCUCAUCUCUGUCACUUACUAAAAUAUGUAGCCUCCAUCCUGGGAGAAAAUCUUCACCCCCCACACAUCAAACACAGCACCAAUCUCCAGAAUAUAUAAAGAACUCAAAAAGCCAAACACCAAAAAACCAAAUAUUCCAAUCAACAAAUGUAGGCUCUCUAUUCACCUCACAGGUUGUUUCUUUUGCUGAGAAGAAAAUUUUUUGUUUGAGUCCAUCCCAUUUAUUGAUUUUUGAUUUUGAUUCUUGCGCUAUGGGAGUCUUCUUGGGGAAGUUGGGGCCUGGUCCAAUAUGAUGAAGAUUGUGGCCUGCUUUCUCUUCUAUUGGACACAGGGUCUCUGAUUUAAUUCCUGGGUUCCUGGUCCACUUUUAAUUGUGUUUUGUGCAUGAUGAGAGGUGAGGGUUUAAUUUCAAUUUGUUGCAUAUGGAGUUGGAGAAUAUAAUGCUAAAUAAAGUUAGCCAAUCCCCCCAAAAAACAAAUGCCGAAUGUUUUCUGUGAUAUAAAGGAGACUGAUUCAUAGUGGUUAGGGAGGGGGAGCAUGGGAGGAAUAGACAAACUCUAGAUAGAGCAAAGGGGUGGGAGGGGAAGGGAGGGGGUAGGGGGUUAGCAAUGAUGGUGGAAUAUGAUGUACAUCAUUAUCCAAAGUACAUUCAUAAAGACACAAAUCGGUGUGAAUAUACUUUAUAUACAACCAGAGAUAUGAAAAAUUGUGCUCUAUAUGUGUAAUAUUAAUUGUAAUACAUUCCAUUUGUCAUUUAUUUUAAAAAAAGAAAAAAAUAACAAAAAAUAAAAUAGGUAGCCUCAAGUAAUCUAUUUCAUGUUUCUGAGGCUAAGACUCCUUAUCUGCAAAUUGUCCAAUAAUAUGUACUAUUAAUUUGGGAUCUUAUGAGGAAAAAAUAAGAUGGUACAUGUGCAAAUGUUCACUGAAUUAUAUAGUACAUAGUACUUCCCUAGCAUAUAUACAUAGUACCUAGUACACACGUAUAAAAUUAUGAUCAUAGCAAUAAAUAUGAUAAAGUACCAUCAAACUUUUUUCAAGAUCCCAAUAGGACACAAGGCUAAGCAGUUCAUUCAAAGAUAAAUAAAUACAAAAAGAUUAAUAAAUACAUAGAAGAAUGGUUAACAAUUAUUUUAUUUAAGAGAAGAUCCUAAAUCAACUUGUUACAUUAUAAUAAAAUAUUUAGUAAACCUAUUAAUUUUCUUCAUUCUUAAAAACCCAAGAAAAGUACUACCAAGUUAGGAAAUUUAGAUAAAGUAAGAAAACCAGUUUCAGUCUCAGUCAUUAAUACUAUAGCCAACUCUUAGGAUAAAUUCUUGGACCAUAUUUUCCAAAGUUCUAAAUAAUACAUGUGUGGUACACUCUGGGAAAUAGAAUGACUUUCAGUUUGAAGUAGUCCAUGUUAAACUUAUGUGUUUUACCCUGAAUGAAUAGUUCUUUGGGAAAUAAUUCACUAACCCUAGAAUGUCUACAAGGGAGAAGAAAUGCUGCCAUAAACCAGUUCUAGUUCUAUGUGCCAAGAAAUAUGAAUGAGCUCAUGAUGCCCUCUUUCUUCCUCUCCAAACUCUCUAAAAUCUUGUUAUUCAAGAAUACAUGAGAGUAUCCAAGGAAUUUUUGAAAGUAAGAGGAUAUGAAUAGUGUAUAUUUAAAAAAAAAUCCCUUGUUAACAGCAUAACACACACAAUGCAUAUACCAAGUCAUGACUCCAGAUAAUGAAGUGAUCAUACAUUGCUUUUUAUCAACAAUAAUUCUGGUUUGACAUUUUAGCUCAAUUAGUUUAUGACCUACUUAGGAGUGUUUGUUAUAUAUCAACUUUAGAAGGAUUUGACUAAUUUUGCUGAACCAAAGUGACUCAAGGGUAUUAUAAGUUUCCAUUUUAGGAUUUGACAUAUUGAAGCAAAUGAUGAAGAAAUUGUGAUUUCAAAAAUUCUGUCUUUGACAAUUCUUAAUCACUUUCAAAUAAAUUUAGUAUUUGGGUUGAGGUUACCUAGCUAUGUCACUGUAUUUAGUAAAAGCCUGAGAACAUGGCACCUUUAAUAUUAUGAGGUCCUGCCACAAAAAAAAUAAAUAAAUAAAUAAAAUCAUUCUCUUUUUUUCAUCUCUGUUUUGGCAGUUAUCCUAUUGCAUUUCAAUUCUGCUUACAUACCUGUGUUUCUUAUCAGACUGAAAAUCCCUUAAGGUUAAGAAUCUCAGUUAAUUCCCAUCUACAGCUUCAGGAUCUAACAAAGUACUUGACACACAAUAAGAACUCAAUGAAGGGCUGGGCUUGUGACUCAGUGGUAGAACGCUUGCCUAGCAUAUGUGAGGCACUGGGUUUGAUUCUCAGCACUACAUAUAAAUAAAGAUCCAUUAACAACUAAAAAUAUAUUCAAAAAAGAACUCAAUAGAUGUUUUUAGAUAAGUAAAGUUUAAAAAAAGACAUAGAUUUUGUUGAAGAGCUAAUUUCUUAAUUUGGGGUUCAAUUAGUUUUUUGCCUUCUAAUAUUGACUAUUAGAUUAAAUGUUAUAUUCUGCUUUAUUCUCUUAUAGAGUUUUUUCAGAAGUUUCUUAGGAGAUAUAAUAUAAUUUUUAGUAAAAACUUACAAGCUGGGGAAAUUUAUAUCUGAUGAAGAUUAACAAUCCUUACACACGUAGAGACAGUUUAAGCCAGUACUACAAAACUCAGUUAUGAAAUAUGUAUUUGAAUAGCCUGUGAAAAUAAAAUAAAUUCUAAAAUUAGAAUAGAAAUGAAAGAAAGAAAGAGAACCUUUUAUACUAGAUCAAAUUCACCCAAAGGUGAACUAUUGGCUUUUUGAAACAUUUAAGGCAAUGAAUGCAAUUAUCUUUGACAGUUCUACUGGUCUUACUUUUUCUGAUAUGACUUAACUCCCCCCAGCCACAAACACAAGACUUCCUUUUGACUUAUAAGGAGAAAGUAAGUAGGAUUUAUAGGAUUUGUAUUAAUUUUCUACACAAUAGUGUCUGGAUUAUUUUAAGUCUUAAGAAAAAUUCCAUGAAGAAAAUGAUCAUUGUUUGUGAGAACAGGGCACAUUUUUAGAUUCACCUUAAUUAAAAUUAGACAGUUGAUCUCAAUUCUUUAAAUCCAUGUUUGCUCAUACCCUUUUCAAAGCUUCUAGAAGUGUGUUAAAGUUUGUAAAAACUGUAUUUUGGGCCAUAACAAAAACAAAUAUAUAAAGAGGAAUCUACCUAGUAUCAAUACAUUAAAAUAGGGCACCUGUCCCUAUGAUGUUUUAAGAGUUUAUUAUUAAAUGUGUAAUAUAAAUUAAUAUAUUGCAAUAAUGUUUUCUUAGAAAAUAUUAAAAUAUAUUCCUUCUCAACUUCUGAGAACAGAAUUAGCACUAGUAUGUUAAAGUGUUUUUUUUUUUUCUACAAAUUUGAACUAACCUCCAGCGAGGGAUAAUAAUUGGAAGAUAAAAGGACAAAAUUGGAUUUGUGUGUGUUGUACAUUGUUUUUUCUCUUUAUAUUUCAUAAAUUACCAUAGGCAGCUUUAGCUACACAGGCUUGCUAUGUGAAAACAAUGGUUUUUAGACUAUUUUGUUAUGAAUGUGUUUAUCAUCACAAAAUAUAUGGUUAUUUGGUUAACAUUAAUCUUGUUUCAGCAAUACAAUGUGAACACAAUUUAGUAACAACCAAACUGUCAUCACUAAGUCAGCAAAAAUGUAUGUAAAUUUCUAAAACUUGCAGAUGACUAAUGGAUUACACUAUAGGAGAAAGAAAGUUGAGAUGUUUAUUAUCCUCUAGAGACACAACAAAAAAUCUGAACUGAUGCCAACUCCAUGUACUAAACAAUAUGAAUUUAUACUGAAAAUUUUCGUUCACCGAAUUUUCUUUAGAAAUAUCCACAACUGAGAGCAGUAUAACCCUCAAGCAUCUAAACCAUUGUUGGAGACUCUAUUUUAUAAAACUACCUUGAACCUAGUAUUCAAAUAUUUUCUGCAGUAUUUCUCAUUUUGUAUGAAUUGGCUGCAUAAUUCUUAUCCAUGGGAAAAAAUGGAAUCAAGAAUGCUCUAGAGAAUCUAAUUUAUGUUUACUUUUGUUAUAUACUAUUGCCUAACAAAGUAUCUCUAAUUUAUUUGCCACUGGCAUUCACUUUAACUCAUAAUUUUUGCGUCAAGUAUUUGAGAACAGUUCAUUUCAGUAGUUUGCCUCUAAUCUAUGUGACACAAGCCAGGUUAGCUAGGACUGGGGGGAUCUACUUCUAAAAAACUUCUUCAUUCAUAUUUCUGGCACUUUGAAAGUGCUCCUUGGUCUUUCUCUUUCCACAUGGUGUCUUAUCUUCUAGGGUCUCUCCCUGGAGCUUGGGCUAUAAGUAGCAUUAUAGUUUCAGAGCAAACCAUGAAACUGGGAUAGAAGUUGCUAGUUUCUCUCAAUGUGAUCUCCAAAAUCUCAGAACAUCAAUUAUGCCAUACUUUACUGGUAAAGCAUAUUUCCAAAGCCAACCCAGAAUAAAAUGUGAGGGGGAGAUUAAGUCCGCAUUUAGAUGAUGUGAGUAGCAAAAACAUCUAGGACCAAUUUUAAUAUGCCACAUUGUUAUUUCAAUUAUUAAGUGCUAGGAUUUGGGAAACCAAAACUUGAUAGUAUGCUUAAUGACAAUUUGAAUUGGACUACUGUACUUUUUGGGAAGUUCUAAUUUUAGUUAUAGUUUGAGGAUAUCUGAAACUAAAUGUUGCUUGACAAACUUUAGAUGCAGAAAGAAAACAACUUCUAGAAGUUUUUAUUACCUCAUGGAAUUCUGAAAGUUCCCCAUAGAGAUGUCCAAUAGCCCCAGUUAUCUUUCUCUAUUUCUUUUUUAUAUCUAUAGUUUUAUAAACUCUCAUCAUUCUGUCUGCAGAUCUCCCACUGAGGCUGAGGAUCUCUCUGAGAUUUAUAGCACUCUUAAUGUCACCUUACAAUUGAGGUAUAUGAGCACCUCACAAAAUGAUUCCCCAUUGUGAAUAUAUGGUGUUAAUAAAUUUGCAGAAAAGUUAAACUCACUUAUAAUUAACUAGUCAUAUGCUCAUUGAAACCAUGAAGAUCUUGAAUGAAAACAUGAGAAGUUUUCUAUCUUUCUGUCAAUAAAGUUAUCUCUAAAUUAUAUUACCAACUAAAAACUGAAAAGUUUAGCCUUACAUUUAAUGUAAUGUGGCAGUCAAUUACCUUAGUGAUUUUAAAGGAUGGCACUGUCAAUAGGAUAUUUUGGCAUAUAUGCCUAUGUUGGACUACUUGUUCAUAUAAAGCUUUAUAAAAUAUACACCAUAAUAGGUGCCCUGAAUAGCAUAUAUAGGUGUUGCACCAAGUGAAUUGAAUGAAACAUAUCCAUUAGAAAGGUCCCUCUCACUACUGUGUACCAGUACUUGUCAAAUUUUUCUGUUGAAAUGUGAAUAAUGGUAGAACAGAAUGGAAAGAUAUCUCCACUGAGGCCACAAACAUGAAAUGUACCUAUAAUUUUUAGGUGAAUUUUGUUUUCAUUCCUUAAUAUAUAAAUUUUGAAAUAAAACAACUUUUCCACUAGAAUCUCCAUGUAAACUGAUGAUACAAGAUCAUUAAAUAGCUUUAUGUAAUCCCUAACAAACUAUAGAGUACCAUAGAGAUAUUUUUAUCCCAGUUUGAAAUGGAGAAGUGUAAGUAAAAAUUAUUGGAGGGUAAGGAUAUAAGAAUAUCUGAAUCUGAAUCUUACAAAAUAUAAUGCCUCCAAAAUAAGACAGGGAAUGUGGAAAGAGCCAUAGUCAAUAGUUCAACAUUAUUUACAAAACAGUCACCACUUCCACAGGUUAUAUUUGACAACAUGUUUAUUAUUUUCUCCUCUUUUAGUUUUAACCUAUUUAACUUUGGUCCUCCUCAAAUUGAUACUCUAUAUUUAGAAAGUACUGUGCUACAUUUCAUUUUAGAACAGUGAGCAAACACUUUGGAAUGUAAUUUUCUCUCUCUUAUUUCCAAGAUAGAUAUAAAAUUGUAUUGAAAAGAUCAAAAGUUGAGCCUAAAAAUUCCAAAGUGAAUGAAAUAUUAUAGUCAAUUCAUCCUACUUGACUAUAUAUAUAAUUGGUGGUUACCACUAUGAUCACAAUUUUUUUAAAAUCAUGUACCCAAUGUAUGUCUAAUAUACUUUUUGCCUGUACACUCAAUUUUUUUGAGAUUCUUUUGGUUAGAAUUGAAGAAAUUGAGGAUUGUGGGGUGAAAUCCACAAGAGAUGAAAGCUCACAAAUGUUAAAGAACAGGGUUUAGAUUAAAGGCCACAGCUUAAAAGAGAUGCUAGCAGGCUUCUGAGUAACAAGCUUAUAGUACUCAAACUCACAAGGACUAGUGGCAGCACACUCAAAAUUGGCUCAAAUUCUCAUGUCCUUAUUCAAGUUUGUAAAAAGACAGUAGCGUUCAUAUAUCAACUAGUUACUUUUCCCCCCAACAUCAUAUGAAUCAUAAAUAUUCAGGAUCCCAAUCUAAAUUUUUUGUUAAAUAGCAUUGGAUUGUGUCAUUGGAAAUAAUAUUAUCAAAUCCUUUUAAAGGCAGUACUGAAGGGCUGUGUUUUAUAUUAAGAUGUGCUUGGCCUCCAGGAGUUAAUUCUCUCCAAAUAAAAUGUUUUGGCUGACAUGUAUGAAAAAUUUUCUUCACCAAUCACCACUGGAAGACAGCAUGAAUCCAUCAAUCACAGAGUUAAAAAGCUCUGUCAUAUAGCACAUUUAAUACCCAGCAUAACAAAUUAGUAUUACCAUUCCUUGAUGCAAUACAAAUUCAUUUCCUUAAACUGCUAACUCCAGGGUUAUAAAUGAGCAGAAAGCAAAUUGAUUUGCAUGUAAUAACAGUGGCAAUAAACCUUUCCUGGUUCAUGCAAUUUUCCCCAUCUGUUAAUAGAGAGCAAGUUUAGGAUCUAUUAUUCCCAGAAGGAGACUUACCCAGCUGGACAUCUAUAACACUUGGCUGAUUCUCCAUGGGGAACAAUGGCUUGGGAGGCUUGUCUGUGAGUAAAGCUAGAAGAGAAAAUGAAAGAAAGUAAUGGAAAAAUUGAGAUAAAUUAUAGAAUAGGAAAGAUUAUAUCAUUGUAUGAUAUUUAAUGUUUGUAGACUUGAUGGUAUGUAAACAUUUAUUAGUGUUCUUAUUUGGGUUGCUACUCUAUCCAUACAAUAUCCAUAUCCCAGCACAUUUAAAACACUGAUGAUUCACUUUAAAUAGGCCAUUUCAACAUCUAAAUCUUCCAACAAGAUAAAAAAUGGACUAUUUUUCUGUUUUUAAAAGCUUGUGUAAAAAUUAGAGAUUUAAAGAAUAUAAUCAGAGAAACAUUAAAUCCUUAUAUCUGCUUUGUAGCACUAUUCUAAAUGAAAUAUAACCCUAGUAGACAUUUCUGGGGGCAUGAAACUUUUAAGACUCUAAAUCAUCUCCCAUUCUCCAUCUCAAAUUCUAGAAUAUAAUAAAGCACUGGUACCUUCAUUAGUAAUUGAUUAAAAAAUAUUAAUUUGUGUACCAAGUCCUGUGCUAGGUGUUAAGGGAGAGAAGGUAAAGUCUUUUUUAGGGCCUUCAAUUUAUAACAUACUAGCACAUGAAAAUAAAGAGAGAAUUGAAAACAGAAUAUAAUCUUAUGGAAGAUGCAGCAUUUGAGGUAUAAGAAUAUAUGUUUGUGUGUGUGUGUGUGUGUGUGUGUGCGCGUGCACACAUGCACGUGUGUAUAGCAAAGGAAUACAGAGGAGUCAAUAUUGGUUAUUAUGAUGAUUGGGAACAUUUUAUAAAGGAAAUUGGAUCUCCCUAUGAGCCUUAAGGGAUGGAGAAGAUCUGGAAAAGCAGAGAGUAAGGAAAAAGAAAUUCAGGAAAGUUUAACAUAAACCAAGGGACAAAGGUAGAAUUUAGCAAGCAUAAUAUGCUUAGAGGAGAAUGGUCUGGUGAAAAGGGGUUGGAUGGGAUACGUUUGGGUGGAGAAUUAGUUGGUCUUAAUGUAUGCAUCAAAAUUUGGAAAUAAAAUUUGAUAGAUAGGAUGAGGCUCAGUUCUAGAGGACUGCAGGGAAGAGGCACAGGAAUUUGGACCUGAUGUCGCAGGCUACAGUACCAUUUCAGAUUCUUUGGACAAAAGAAUGACUAAUAUGAAGUGUUAUCUAAUGAUGAUUGGCUUGAAAUAUGGGAUGGCUAGAGAACAAAAGUAGCUAAGAGUAUACGAAAGAAAUUAAAGGCAUAAAAAUAGGAAAAGAAGAACUUAAAUUAACACUAUUUGCGGGAGACAUGAUUCUAUACCUAGAAGACCCAAAAGGGUCUACAAAAAAACUACUAGAACUAAUAAAUGAAUUCAGCAGAGUGGCAGGAUAUAAAAUCAACAUGCAUAAAUCAAAGGUAUUUCUGUAUAUCAGCAACAAAACUUCUGAAAUGGAAAUGAGGAAAAACACCCCAUUCACAAUAUCGUCAAAAUAAUAAAAUACUUGGGAAUCAACCUAACAAAAGAGGUGAAAGAUUUAUACAAUGAAAACUACAGAACCCUAAAGAGAGAAAUAGAAGAAGAUCUUAGAAGAUGGAAAAAUAUACCCUGUUCAUGGAUAGGCAGAACUAACAUCAUCAAAAUGGUGAUAUUACCCAAAGUUCUCUAUAGGUUUAAUGCAAUGCCAAUCAAAAUCCCAAUGGCAUUUCUUGUAGAAAUAGAGAAAGCAAUCAUGAAAUUCAUAUGGAAAAAUAAAAGACCCAGAAUAGCAAAAGCAACUCUAAGCAGGAAGUGUGAAUCAGGCGGCAUAGCNGACCCAGCUAUUGCCCUUCUCGGACUAUUCCCUGAAGACCUUAGAAGAGCAUACUAUAGGGAUACUGCUACAUCAAUAUUCAUAGCAGCACAAUUCACAAUAGCUAGACUAUGGAACCAACCUAGAUGCCCUUCAAUAGAUGAAUGGAUAAAAAAAUGUGGCAUUUAUACACAAUGGAGUAUUACUCUGCACUAAAAAAUGACAAAAUCAUGGAAUUUGCAUGGAAAUGGAUGGCAUUAGAGCAGAUUAUGCUAAGUGAAGCUAGCCAAUCCCUAAAAAACAAAUGCCAAAUGUCUUCUUUGAUAUAAUGAGAGCAACUAAGAACAGAGCAGGGAGGAAGAGCAGGAGGAAAAGAUUAACAUUAAACAGAGACAUGAGGUGGGAGGGAAAGGGAGAGAAAAGGGAAAUUGCAUGGAAAUGGAAGGAGACCCUCAUUGUUAUACAAAAUUACAUAUAAAAGGUUGUGAGGGGAAUGGGAAAAAAAACAAGGAGAGAAAUGAAUUACAGUAGAUGGGGUAGAGAGAGAAGAUGGGAGGGGAGGGGAGGGGGGAUAGUAUAGGAUAGGAAAGGUAGCAGAAUACAACAGUUACUAAUAUGGCAUUAUGUUAACCGAUGCGAUUCUGCAAUCUGUAUUUGGGGAGUUCAUAACCCACUUGAAUCUAAUGUAUGAAAUAUGAUAUGUCAAGAGCUUUGUAAUGUUUUGAACAACCAAUAAAAAAAUGUUUUCAGGGCUGGGGUUGUGGCUCAGUGAUAGAGUGCUCAUCUAGCACAUGUGAGGCCCUGGGUUCGAUCCUCAGAACCACAUAAAAAUAAAUAAAAUAAAGGUAUUGUGUUCAACUACUUCUAAAAAAUAAAUUUAAAAAAAUGUUUUGGUUAUGAAAGAGCUAGGAGUCAGAGCAUGGUAAAAUCUGGGAAAAUGAAAAAAGGAAAGAUCAAAUCAGAGUGAUACCUGGAAAAAAGAAAUGAGAGGAACUGGCAUACAAUGUCAUAUGUAUUCAUAUAAAACUAUUAUUAAUAGCCUGAAUUCCUUUUAAUUGUUCUUAUAUUUAUGCCUUGCUUCAACUAUCCAACUGAACUCUUACCUAAUAAAACAAAAUGUUUUAUCCUGCUUUAUAAUUCACAGGCGGCUUAGUGUAGGAUUGGUCUAUAAAAGAUAAUCAUUAUACCAUCAUUAAUUGACUGGCUUAGGAAUCCCCUGUGAACAUAAGAGAAGUUUUUCUUAUAUUUGUGAGGAUGUUUAGAAGAAACAGAGAAAAAUGAGAGUUGAUCACAGAAGGGUAAGUUUAAGAAACAUAUAAAUCUGGAGAGAUUUCCAAAAAUAGCUUAUAACAAACAAAUGCACCAGGAAUAUUUUGAAUGGUAUUUACAUAAUAACACAUUUUUCUUCCUAUAAUCUAAAUUAUUUGAGGGGAUGUGGCUCCAGCGGUAACGCGCUCACCUGGCAUGCAUGGGGCACUAGUUUCCAGCCUCAGCACCAUAUAAAAUAAAAUAAAGAUGUUGUGUACACCAAAAACUGAAAAAUAAAUAUUAAAAAAUUCUCUCUCUCUCUCUCUCUCUCUCUCUCUCUCUCUCUCUCUCUCUCUCUUUCUCUCUCUCUCUCUUUAAAAAAAAUAAAAAACAAAUAAAUUACUUUAACUGGGAAAAUUGUGGUGAAUUAAUUGUUCUCAUGUUCCAACAAAUCUUUACCGAUGUCCAGCAACAUGUAUUAUGCUUACAGAAUUCAAUGACAUAUUUGAAUUAAGCUGAUUUGAGCAUAAUUUAGACAGAUCUAUAAGCAAAAUACUAGGUUUCAUUAUAUAUGAAAUAAUCUUAAUAAUAUGACCUUAAAUAUUAUUUGAAAUAUAAGGAAUAAGUAAAAUUUAAAUAUUUGAAUUAAAAAUCCAUUCACAUCAGAUGUUCAAUUUUUUUGCUAUUGUUUGUUAAUGUUGGUAAUAAAAAAUAUUUGAAACAACUUAUAUAUCCAUCAGUAGGAGAAUGGUUAUAUAAAACUGUUGUAAUUUCAUAUACUGAAAUAUUAAGAUACAGCUUUUUAAAAGAAUUAGGUACAUCUGUACAUCUGUCAUGAAAAUAUCUAUAAGAUAUACUGUUUAAUGAAAAGCAAGAUUCCAAAUAGCUGGCAUAUAUAAGCUUAUUUGUGUAAGCAUGGGAGUUUCCUAGAGAAAAACAUAUGUAAUUGAUAAUAGUGUUUUCCUCUGGGGAUAACUGAUGGUUGAGGAAUAGUGGGAAGAGAAAGACAGUGUGGGCAGAUAGCAGGAAGAUAAAAUCUUCACUAUAUACAUUUUGAACAGUAUACAGUGCUAUAUUUAAAAUAUGAUUAAAAUUAAAUAAAUUAUAGCCAUUUUAUCUUUUAUUUAUAAAAAUGUAAUUUUGGUUUCUUUAUGGAAUUAUCAUCAGCUUGCCUUACACAUCCAAAUUAUAGACAUUUACCCUGCUGUAAACUGUUCUUCAUAUUUUAAGUAUGUCUUGCUACCAAAUGAACUAACUGGAAUGUGAAUAAGUGGAAAGUAACUAUAAGUAAUAUUUGUUGUAUAGAAGUGCUGAUCUUGUUCUAUUUUCAGGAAGAUAUGAAUUUGGGGUCUUUAUUACCUUAUCUCCCACCUUUAACUAUGGAUAUACUAACCCUGAUUUUAUUAUUGUUAAAUGUUAUUAUUGAAGUGAUAUUUAUUAAUAUUAAAAUUUAUUUGAAGUAAUGUUAUAAUUUUGAUAUGAAGUGUUUUUCUAAAGCUCCUGUUGCCAGAAUAUUCAGAGGUGAAAUAAUUGGAUUAUGAGAACUGUAACCUAAUCAGGUCACCUAGUUUGAAAUGUAGGUAGAUGGGUUGUAGCUAGAGGAAGUGGGUCACUGGGAGUAUUCCUGGAAGGGUAUAUCUUCCCUGUGGUCCCUUCACAUCUCCCCUACUUCUUGACCCCAUCAUUAUCUGAGCUGCUUUCCUCUGCUGGGCCAUUUCUCCAUGAUGUGCUGCCUUAUCUUGGGCCCAGAGCAAUGGAGUCAGCCAUCUAUGGACUGAGACCUCUGAAACCAUGAGCCUCAAAUGAACUUUCCUUCCUCUAAGUUGUUCUUGUCAGGUAUUUUGGUCACAGUAGUGCAAAAGCUGACUAAAACAAGUGCCUUAAAUUUGAAGGUGGUUUAAAUGUUCAAAGUGCUUUUGAAUUCAUUAGCUUAUGUGACUUAUGCAGUUACCUUGAAAUAUAAAGAAGAAAGUUAAUGUUUUGGGCAAUACAGAGAUGACACUAAUUGACCUUACAUUGUCCUAUUUGGUGUCCCCUUGUGACUGAAAGCCCCUAUUUGCAGGAUGGAUACAGAUAUACGUUUUAGGUAGAAGUCAAGUAAAAUAAUGAGUACUGAAAUCAGUAGUUUUAACCUCUUUGAUUCCACACUAAUUAACUGAGCUAAGUUUCAAAAGCCAAUGUGAGUGGCUCCAUGGUAAAUAUCCAGUUGAAACAUGAUUUCUGUAGGACACUUGACAUGCAUAUACGUUUUAUUCCUAAACCCAUGAAUAGAAUGGAAAAAUUUUUCACUUACCCCAAUGCAUUCUAAUGGGAUGCAUGGGUGUGGAGCCUUAUUAAAUUCCAAUAUUAUGUUUAGGCCUGGAAAUUGCCAAGAAGUGCAGAAUAUUUAUGAUGAUAAACCAGCAACUGUAGCAGUUCAAUGGGAUCCUGACUACCAGCCCAGAGACAAAUGUAUUAGCACCCCAUAUAAUUACAAUAUUUGCAGAUUAGCUGGAGCAAAUGCUGUCAUGGACAGGCAAACUUGAUUUCUUAUAUUUUUAAAAAUUCUCAUCUGAAACUUAUAGUUACUAUGGGAUAAAGGAAGUGGGGGGUCUCAAUACCAAACCCCCUGAAUGAUAGGGCAGAGAUUUACAAUUUUAUUAGGAAACUUAUCCCAGACUUUGAAAGGAACUAAUUGGGAUCUGAGCGAGACCCCAGUGGAAAUUUGUUGCUUAAGCUUCAUGUUUUGAUUGAAAGAAUGGGAACAUGGGAUGCUCUUUGUUACUAAUAUUUCAGUCUACAAUCCCUCCCCUGUAGUUCUUUCUGUAGCUGCUUAUUGUUUAAUUAUCCUUAAAUAUAAUUGUUCUACUGAGUAUACCAUGAUGCUAAUCAAUGUGCUAUUGAAGCUACUAUGGUUACUGCCAGCCUAUUCCUAAAGGUAGAUUUUAAAUAUUUAACACUAAUAUUCCCUGAGAAGAAUGUCCAAUUUAACGUUUUCUUUUCUGUUUCAGGCAAUGGUUUGUGUCUACAUGUAUAAACAAAUCAAUUAAUGCGAUUGAAAUGAAUUUUUAGUUUCCAUGAAUGUAGUGUAAAAAAUCAGUAGAAUUAUUUAUUGGAUUGAAUAAAUAAUGUUACACAAGUUUUGUAUAUUGUUGUUAUAAUUUUUGUUGCUCCCUUUUGUUGUUUACUUGUUUAUUUUUGGUACCAGAGAUUGAACUCAGGGGCACUAGACCACUGAGCCCCAGCCCCAGCCCUAUUUUGUAUUUUUAUUUAGAGACAGGUUCUCACUGAGUUGCUUAGCACCUCGCUUUUGUUGAGGCUGCUUUGAACUCAUGAUCCUCUUGACUCAGCCUCCCAAGCUGCUGGGAUUACCAGCAUGGUGCACGGCUUAUUUAUUUAUAUUUGCCAGAAAGACCAAGUGGGGGAAUAUGAAAGGUCGGUGACUCAUUAAUUUCAGUGAAUAAAGCCAUUUUUGAAUUUGUAUAUUAAGGUUAAUGAAAUAUAUCUUCUAAAAUAUAUUCAAAACACUAUUUGAAAUCACAUUUCAAAAUCAGUGUUUUCUCACAACAUUUCACCACUCAAACUUACCACUGUCUCCUAUGUAUAACAGAGGAUAAAAUAUGAAUUUAUCAACUAGGAACAUAAAAGCAACCGCAAAAUAAUCUUUAAAACUUUCCUGCCUUUUCACCCACCUUUUAUUUUAUCAGUGCUAUAACCAAGUUACUUUGCACAUUUUCCUUAUUAACAUGUUGCGUUAAUUUCCAAAUCUGCAUCUUGGCUUAAACUCUUCUUCCAAGUUUGGAAACAAAUAGUAAUAGCUACCACAUUUAUCAUUUAUUAUUUACCAUUGCUAGGCACUGUUGUAAGUUAUAUUACAUUUUACAAAUAAUUUGUUCAAAGUCAAGUAACAUUUGAAUCAUAAAGUAGGAAUCUGAAUUGAGUUCUAUCUAAUGUCACCAUGUACUCAAUGCUCUGAGACCUCCCCUUUCUUUUUUGCCAUCAUAAGACCUAUACAGUCUCUAAAAAGCCUUCUAUAAUAACAUCCUAAACUAAUAUUUUCAAUCUCUGAAAUCCUAAAUCAUUUACUAGUAUUUGACCCACUUAUUUGGUUCAUAGCAUACACCACUGUUAGUACAAAUUAAUCCUCACUGUACAUGGGUAUGUCUAAUUUUCCCAAGUAGAUUUUAAGCUCCUGGAGGACAAGGGCCAUGCCUCAUAUAACUCAGGAAAUAUAAUAGUGCCUGGCAUUGUGGAACAAAUAAACACAAUCUCCAAAUUAAUUUUCCCAUUAUAUUCUUUCUCUAAAAACAAGUGCUUCCAGUAGAAUUCUUAGAUUGCAAUGAACAAAUAAAAUUUGCUAAUUAAAACAAAAAGAGAACUUAUCGGAAUGAUAUCUCAAAGAUGGCCAGAAAGUCUGUAAGAACUAGGUUUAGGAACAGAAAAUAAACUAGGCCACAUUUAGAUGUACAAUCAAAAGAGACUACACAAUGAUCUCAUCUUGACCCUAUUAUUUGAUUAAACUUGUUUUGAUUUUCUUAAAUGUGUUUUCUAUUUAUUCUAGCUUAAAAUUUUAUUUGGAAAUUACAGAUUUUAUUAAAAAACAAAUAUUUAUCCAGGAUGAAUUUUUAUUUAAGUUUUCCCCUAAGAACUCUUUAAUUUACUUUUUAUUAUAAAAAUUAACUCAUAUUGAUUGUACAGAUUUGUGAGUUUCAUUGUAAUACUUCCAUACAUGGAUGUAUUGCACUUCAAUCACAUCAACCCUCUUUACUACCCUUUUUUCCCUCCCUUCUCUUCUUCCUCCUGUCUGUUUCUUUCCCCCUCCCUAAUAUAGUACCCUCUUCUACUUCCAGGUCAUCUUUUUUUUCCAGACAUAUAUCUGAAAUAUAGUUCUUUUUUUGUUGUUUCUAAAUAUGAGAGAAAACAUGUGAUACUUGUUUUUCUAUGUUUGGUUUAUUUUGCUUGUCAUGAUGAUCUCUAGUUGCAUCCAUUUUCCUGCAAAUGCCAUGAUUUCAUUCCUUUUUAUGACUGAAUUUAAAUUUUUUUGUCCUUAUGUCACUUUGAUCAAGAUUCAAAUCCCCAGGAAAAUCAGGCUGAGUAGAUAAAUUUGAGAUCUGGCCUUAGUCAAAAUUGUAUGCAUAUCAUGAGGAGAAGAAUCCCAUAAAAGCCAGUUUUCUCAACCUCAGCAUUAUUAACACUAUUAGAUAAUUUUUUAUCAUGGAUGACAGUAGUCCUGUGAAUUGUUGGAUAUGUAGCAGCAUCCCUAUCCACUACCCAAGUAAACUCCAAUAAUUCCCUGCCCACCUUGUAAGAACGGAAUAUUGAGCGUUGGUCAAUGAUCCCAAGGAAUAAAGCCAUUCCUGAUUGAGAACCACUGCCCUAAAGGAAAUUUAAACUGCUGUUGGAAAAGAAAUGAAUACUAGAUAGUCAACAAUAACAGGCAAUUGCACCUCUUUACUCAACUCCAGGGUCGGGUUAUACUAAUUUCUAUGUAAAUUACAUUCCUUGGGGCACAUAGUAUUAAUAGGAGGUCUUGGAGUUGUGCAAAUAGAUGGCCUUGACACAGAUUCACUAUUCUAGGCAUUGUGUUUUAUUGAUUUAAACAAUGAUUUUGUUAUGCCAAAUACCUGGCAAAUUCUGAAAUAGUCACUGGCAUUUGUCAAUUGGUAGCAGCUGUUUACUGGGAUAUUGCUCCUUCCAAAUCACCUAGACUCACAAACUAACUCUGAAAAUGGAUAACAGCAGCCCUGUGGCACUGCCCCAAAGUGCCCAGGUGCACAGUUAUUAGUGAUUUCCUGAUGUUCUGAGGGAAUUGAGGGUCUUGGAAAGAAAACUUGGAAAUAACCUCCAUGUAGGAAAACAUAAGAAGGUUCUUACUAAGCAAAUUAGAUUUAGGGGAAGCCUUAAAAGUUUUCUGUAAUCAUGAAAGUAGAUUUGCCAAUACUAACUCAAGCAGAUGAUUAAUUUGAAGAACAGAAAGAAUCCAGAAAUUGCUAAGUUCUGAACAUAUCUUAAGCAUUAUUAUCUUUUGAAAUACUUUGCAUUUUCUUAUAUUAUUACCUAAUUGCAUGAGGCAUUCAAGGAAUAUCUCCUUCUGAAUUAACUACAUAGAUUUCUUAAUUCUAAAUUAUGGAGUAUAUAUUUUACUGGAAAGUUAAUGUAAGGUCUCAUAUGUUUAAACUAUUUUAAUUUAUAGGUUUACUAGGCUGAGUCCCCUAAUUUAAGUGACUAUUCAAGAAAAAAAUACAUAAUUCCCAUAACUGUUCAAUAUCAUCCUUAAUCUUACAAAACAAUAACUCCAAACAGGAUCAGUCUUGGGUACAAAGUGUCUCCUAUACCCUAUGCUCCUUCAUUUUGUGUUCCCUACUUCAGAGAAUUUUCUCCUGCAGUAUGCUUUUAGGCACUCAGGGUUGUAUUGACUCUCAUCAAAACCAGUUGCAAAGAAGCCUUUAGGAAUUUAAGACACUGUACUUCUUCCCAUAAGGUGUUUUUGAAGGCUUGUCUCUAAAUGUGGAAUGGAACACUUUAUUCUUUUGGGUGAGUUAAUCAGCAAUAACACAUUGGACCCCAAGGCCCUUCUCUGAACUUUUAUCUUCACAUUAAUGUUGGCCAAUAAACACAGUGUACUUUAGCAGAAGUCUAUGAGGACAGAUACAAUUAUUUUUUCCCUCAAGAUUCCAACCAGCAUUAUUAUGAGAGAUUCCUUCACUAUGAAAUUAUUUUGGAAAGAGAGCCCAAACAUAUUUUAUUUAUUUUUUUUUACUAUCCUAUGUGCAUAUAUUUUUUAAUGCUAUUUUAUUUUAUUUUUUAUUGGUUGUUCAAAACAUUACAAAGCUCUUGACAUAUCAUAUUUCAUACAUUAGAUUCAAUUGGGUUAUGAACUCCCAUUUUUACCCCAAAUACAGAUUGCAGAAUCACAUUGUUUACACAUCCACAUUUUUACAUAAUGCCAUAUUAGUAACUGUUGUAUUCUGCUACCUUUCCUAAACAUAUUUUAAAUAGACCAACAAAUGCCUAUUAAAAGUCAAGUUUUGUUUUCACUUUGGCUUUUUAUUACCUUCAUCAACUGCCUACUGUAGCAAUUAGUUUUAUAUAAUUAUUUUCUCUGCCUAAAUUCUAAUAUUCUCUUAUAUUUGGAAUAGGACACAGAAUGACAUGGACUUUUUUUUUCCUUUUGUACCAUGGAUUGAAUCCAGGGAUGCUUAAUCACUGAGCUAUACACCCAAUCCUUUUUAUUUUUAUUGUGAGACAGGGUCACACUAGGUUGCUUAUGGUCUUGCUAAUUUGUUGAGCCUGGCCACAAACUGUAGAUCCUCCUUCCUCAGCCUCCCAGGCUGCUUGGAUUACAGGUGAGCACCAAUGUGCCUGGCACAUCAGCCAUUUAUUAAAACUAUCUAGAAAAUGAUGUAUUCUCCAGGUGUCCCAGUUAUAAUAGCAAGGUCAUGAUGAAUUAGGGGAAAAAUUGUCAAUAAUUCUCAGAAAAAUUUGGAGAUUAUUUUUCAAAGCCUUGAUCCUUUAACCUUCAGAUAUUUUAAUAUUUAUCUCCUGCAUGCCCCAUUAAUAAGAAUUCCCUUUAUUAAAUAAUUGUUACUGAUGAUAAUGGUUCAGGUGCUUUAUACAGCUAUUUGGAAGAUAAAAUUAUUGAGAACCACUAAAAGUCAAACAGGAGGUCAUAAUCAGGGGAUUAAAUUGCUUUGAAAACACACAUUCUACUUGCUCUACAAAUACUCCUGCCAUCAUCUAAAGCAAUUGCAAGUAUAUGUCUUUUUUUAGCCUAGAACUUAAAGUCAGUUACUGUCUUUGAAUAAAUAAGUGAUCCUUUAACAGACAGAUGCUGUUUCUGGAAACACUGGGCAAUCUACCUGACUGUUGCCCCUGCACAGCUCAGGGCCUCCCUACCAACUGGCUCAGAGCUUGUGCUCUGAUUUGUAAUUCAGUGGAUGUGCCCUGAGGGUGGUGAAUGGUCAUGGAUACUGUGAACUUGCCCUGAGAUGCCCUUUUCUCUGAAUACCAUAUUUAUUUUUACUAAUAUUUGAGUUUUGAGCAAUGCAUAAGCUUUGGGAAAGCUUUCACAAAGGCAGGGUGAUUUCUUCUCAAUGCCAUUUGACACAGGGCCCUUCUCUGGAGAGCAGAAUGUUUACCCAGCACAAAUCGGCCCAGGCAUAAAGCAACUUCUUCAAACUUGAAAAGAAAACAACCUUGGGGAAAAUGGAAGCUUAAAGAAAGGUUAUGAUCAUAGUUUUCCCCUCUUUUUCUUCACAGUGAUUUUCUUUCUACUCUUACCUUUUUGCUCUUUCAAGUAAUUUGCCUCCUUUCUCUAAAAUAGUACUCCCAGGAUCCUUAUGUUGGUGAUGUCAAAUUCCAUAUGUGGUUACUAUCAAAUAAAGAUACUACCGGCUUCCACACAGUAUUUGAGAUGCAGUUAACAUUAAAAUAAAUUAGAGGUUAAAUAUAGGAUAAAGGUCAAUUUUACCUUGCAUCAGGAUCAUCAUUUGGCUCUCUUGUUAUUGAUAUAUUACAUUUUAGAAAUUUGGCCUUGAUAGUGAUGCCUAAGAAAACAGGAAGUUGAAUACACAAGGAUGAAUGGUUUGGGGCUAGAUAAUCCUUUAUAGGUUUUAUUCUUCUAGUUAUUUUGACAGAAGAAGAAAAUGAAAAACAGAAAAGAAAGGAUGCAUUCAAUAUCAUAUAGCAAAUUAGCGAUAAAUCAAAAGAAUAAAACCAAAGUUUCUUGAAGUCAAGAUACUCUUCUUUAUUCUUAAGGGAUUAAGUAAAGUUUUAAUUAUGCAUAGGGUUAAAAGGAUUCCUAAUGAAUAAAUACCUCACAUCAAGAAAAACAUCACAUGGGUAGGAAGUAGGCUGAUUUUUAAAAAAAAUAUUUUUUUUAGUUGUAGAUGGACACAGCACCUUUAUUUUAUUUAUUUAUUUUUAUAUGGUGCUGAAGAUCAAACCCAGUGCCUUACACAUGCCAGGUAAGUGCUCUACCACUGAGCCACAACCCCUAGGCUUAUAUUUUUAAGAAGGUGCUGAAGAUAAAGCAGACAUUGAUAAUCUUUAGAACAUUAGUUCUAUGUUAAGGCCCAGUAUUCUUCUCACUGUACCAUGGCUAAUCUUGACCUAUUAGGAUCCAAGUUUUCAAUUCUGUGAACCUAACAGAUAUUCAAAUAUUAUUUCAAAGUCGUAUAUUAUGUGCUCCAUUUAAGUUUUUAUAGCUGUUCCACAUCUGGGAUGAUUCAACAAAAUGGUUUAAGCACACAUUUUAUGCCAGACACUUUUACACUAAUUUUCUCAUUAAAUUCUCACAAGGAUGUAUAACAUGGCUUCUAUUAUCAACAUUUGACAAGUGAGAAAAUUGAUGCUUACAUCAAAUAAUUAGCUCAAAGUCAUAUUGAUGAUGAAUAUACUAUGGGUCCAGGAUUCAACCUUAAUCUAUCACACCUUUGAGAUCUUAUAUUAUUUCUUUUUAAAAUUCAAAAUAGAUCCUAUGUUUCUAUACAAGUGUUACCAAAAUAAAAAAGAAAAGGAGUGGGUUGCUGGGCCUGACCUGCCGGUGGGUCGCAGGUCCACCUACCUUGCAGGCGAGUAACUAAGAACAGAGUUGGGAGGAAGAGCAUGAGAAGAAGAUUAACAUUAAACAGGGAUGAGAGGUGGGAGGGAAAGGGAGAGAGAAGGGAAAUUGCAUGGAAAUGGAAGGAGACCCUCAGGGUUAUACAAAAUUACAUACAAGAGGAAGUGAGGGGAAAGGGGAAAAAAAAACAAGGGGGAGAAAUGAAUUACAGUAGAUGGGGUAGAGAGAGAAGAUGGGAGGGGAGGGGAGGGGGGAUAGUAGAGGAUAGGAAAGGCAGCAGAAUACAACAGACACUAGUAUGGCAAUAUGUAAAUCAGUGGAUGUGUAAAUGAUGUGAUGCUGCAAUCUGUAUACGGGGUAAAAAUGGGAGUUCAUAACCCACUUGAAUCAAAGUGUGAAAUAUGAUAUAUCAAGAACUAUGUAAUGUUUUGAACAACCAACAAUAAAAAUUAAAAAAAAUAAAAAUAAAAAAGAAAAGGAACUAUAUAACAAAAUUGAUGAGGUUGAGCGUGAAUUGAUUAAAUAGUUGUAGCUGUGUCUACAUAAUUCUAUGGGUCAGAAUGGAAUGAAAAUUCAAUUCAUUCUUUCACUCAGUUAAUACAUGUUUAUAUUCCUAUUAUAGAUAUUAUAGAAAAGUGUUCUGCCAAAUAGUGUGUGUAAUCCAGUGUGAAGUAUAGAUCUGAAGAAUAUAUAGAAUAUCAAAAGGGUUAGUCUUGUAGCACAAACAGAUAUACACACAUGGAUAUAGUAAAUAACAAAGUAGCAAUUACUUCUUUUAGUUUUUAUUAUUACUAUAACAACUUCCCCAGGAACUUAGGUUAAAUUGACAUUUUAUUAUUAAUUACAGUUUGGAGGAGAAAAAUAUGAUGUGGGUCUUUCUAGGUUAAAAUUUAGGAUGUGUUCAGGUCUGUGUACUGUUCUGAAGGCUCCAGGAGAUAAUUCCCUUUCCUUUUCCAACCUUUAGAGGCUGUUCACAUUUGUUAGUUCUUGUCCUUCUCAGUCUUCAAAGCCAGCAAUGAAAGUGUGGGUCCUUCUCACAUCACAUCACAUCACCCAGGACUUCCAUUCUGCCUCCCAUUCCCAUAUUUAAGGACCCUUAUCAUAUACUGGACCCACCUGCAGAAUCCAGGAUACUUUCCCUAUUUUAAGGUUAGCUAAUCAGCAAUCAUAAUUCCAUUUGCCAUGUUAAUUUGCUUUUUCUAUGGAUUUUAACAUGUUCCUAACAGAUUAGGUUGAGGAGAUCUUUGAAAGGAGGCCUCAGUCUGCUUAGCACCAUGCCAUAAGAGGUAAUUAAAUAACAUAUAAAUAGAACUUAAAGAGGGGAAUAUGUCAUAUGGAACUAUGUACAUUACAUACGCUGCAUUUUCAUGAAAUGAAUUUUUCUUUACUCAUUUAAUUUGAGCCAAAUUAGUUUGUGAAAAUAACUCUUGUAUUUCAAACCAAAGCUUAUUAAGGCAGUUAUUUGAGUAGAAUGGGCUAGUAUGAAUAUUCUGUUUUCAAUCUAAUGGUUUGUUUAUCUGUGGUUGUCAAAUGCCUUAGGUGUUCAUAUUCUGUCAACAUAAGCUAUUAUAAUACAAGAGUAAGAGAAAGCAAAAUAUCAUGUAAGCAAACUUAAGUAUUUAAGAUGUACUAAUAAUCCCCAAUGAGGACAACAGACAACUAUGGAUAUUAAAUAAGCAAUUUAUGGACUGGGGUAUGGCUCAGUGGUACAGCACUUGCCUAGCAUGUUUGAGGCACUUGAUUUGAUCCUCAUCACUACAUAAAGAUAAAUAAAGGUAUGUGUCCACCUAUAACUAAUUUUUUUCAAAAAUUAACAAUUUACUUAGAAUAAAAUGUUUAAUGACAAAAAUAAUAUCCUAAUUUACAGAAUAUUCUUUUAGUGGACAUUCAACAUGGUGUGAUAUUUAGAACUCAGGAAAAGUUGUUCUAAUUAGAGACUUAGUUUAUGGUCUGAAGUGGAAGACAGAAUUGCUGUCAAUCACAGGACAUUAUCAUUUUACACUCCUCUCUGUUAGUUAUUUCCAGAUUUGUUCUGAUGAUUUCCAGUAACACAUUUAUUUGCAGGAGAAUAAACAAACUGCAUGGUCAUCCAAUACCCAUAAAUUGAAAGGUAUUGUUUUGCUUUUAAAAUGAGCAAACUGAAGUUCAGAAUAUUAUUUUGGAGGACAUUGAACAUGAUGUGAUACUUAGAACUCAGGAAGUAAUUGUCCUCCUAAGUAGCGAGUCACUCUAAUAUAAAGACAUUCAGAAAACUUAAAUUACUCAAGCAAGGACUCACCUCUGGAGACUAGAGGCCAGAAUCAGGAUUUAAAUCCCAAAUAAUAACUCCUGUACUAUAGUCCCUUAGUCUCAUUUGAUCUUCACAAAAUUGCUGUGAGGUAAAAAUAACUAUUAAUUUGUUUGAUCAUUGAGGAAAUUAAGUUUCAGAGAGGUUAGGUAACUUGACCAGUUUUACCCAGAUAGCAAAACUGGCAGAGCUGUCAUUCAAACCUACAUUGAUCUAACCUUAGAGCUGGGAUCUUUCUCUCUGAAUCUCUCCAGGAUGAAUAUAUAAUAGUAUUUCAAAUGAACUCAAUUGUACUAGAAAAAAAUGGAAAAAAACCCAAAAACAUUGCUUUCCAUUUUCAUCACUGAAGUCAGGACCUGGUCCUUAGAAAUCUUGAUUAAUUUCCCACUUGAUGGCAGCUCUCUGGGAGGUUUCCAAGCUUGUUCCCUGUCUUCAUAACACUGAUGAGCACUAAUUUAAUUAAUCAAAUAUAAGUUGAUGAUCUACGAUGUUGAAAUUGAUUUUCAAAUGAAACCAAUUAUAACUGCUCACAGUUCCAAGAAGAAAAUAUAAGCUAAGUGAUUUUAAGAUGCAAUUACUGGAUGCAGUAGAAUCAGAGGAGAAAAAAAUAAACUGAAUUUACAAAGCACUCUCUUCUUUCCAUUAUUAUCCCAUUAAGUCCAACUGGGAGGCUAGGAAGACAAAGAUUGUUGUCUCCAGAAACUAAGAUAUGAAAACUCAUGAUUUUUUCUAAUUAUGAUGCAAGUCUCUCAAAACAGGUGUCCCGCCUUUUAAAAUCAAUUUCAUAAACUUGCCUUCUAACUACGGAACUUGAAAGGUGGUCCCAUAUUUUCUGAUAGUAUAAGCAUUUCCUGAGUUGUCAUUGUUCAUCUCCUAUUAUAGCUUUGUCAAGAAUGUAAGCCCAGUGCUCAGAAGGAGAUGCUGAGACUUUAAAUAAGCCAAAUUUGAAAUACCAUAAGGCAGGCUAAUGGUUUGACAGGAAAGCCAUUCCCACCACAGUCUUAUCUAUAUAGACUGACAUGAAUCAGUUUCCAAGUAUAGUCUAAUUCACCUAAGAGUCUGCACAUUUCCCCCUGCCCUACCCACAUUCUAUCACCCUCUGGUCUGGACUAAUAUUUCCUUUAUAGAACAUUCCAGUACAGGUGGAAACUCAGGAGUUCAAGGCUGCUCUGGCCUUCAACCAAAUUGAUCUGGUGCCACUGGAUGUUUCUACAGCAAACAUGCACUUUCUCUGAGAGUGUCUUUAGUCAAGAAGUGCUCAGAUCAUUUCUGAAAGAACAAAAGGAUUUUCAGGAAACUCUUCUGUUGGGGUGGUUACCUGGGGUUACAAACGAGGGAAAGUACUACAGGUAGAUGUUGCUGCAUUGAGACCCAGUGUCUACUAUUCUGUUUUUAGUCAGACAGGCUAGUUACAUGCCUGACUAAAGCUCAGCUCUUUAAGAUCUUUGUCUAUGGGCUGAUGACACAUCAAUGCGUUAGUAUAAAUCUGACAGCUGCAGCUUACUAGCAUAUAACCAUUUGGUCUCAGAUAGUGUUGAAGAAGAAAAGGGCAUUGCUUAGUUCUAGUUUUGAGAAGGGAAUUUCAAAAGCUCCUCAUUCUUGCCUGUUUUAUGUCUUUACAGACCUUGGGAAUGUCUGUGAUAUUCAUCAGCAUCAGACUGAUCUCACCCUAAUUCAGAGCAGAUGGUUCCUUGUAUAUUAUGAUUUUAUAGGGGAUGUCUCUCUCAACUUUCAAAAACACCUGCCACCCACUAUGUAGGUCACAAAACUCUAAAAUGUUGCAGUUGAAAGCAUAGGCUCUGGAUUAAGAAUACCUGAGUUUGAUUUCUGGUGCUGCCAUUUGCUGUGUGAAUUUGCUCAUGAUUUUUAACCUCCUCUGGGACUCAAUUUCCUUAAUGUGUAACUAUGGAUGAUAAUAAUACCCACUUUUUAGAAUUUGUUAUGGUUUGGAUCUGAGGUGUCCCCCAAAUGCUCAUGUGUGAGAUAAUGCAGGAAGGCUCAAAGAGGAAAUGAUUAGGUUAUGAUAGCCUUAACUAAUCAGUAAAUUAAUUACCUGAUGGGAUUAAAUGAGUAGUAACUGAAGACUGGUGGGGUGUGGCUUUGGGGUAUAUAUUUGUAGCUGGUGAAUGGAGUCUCUCUAUCUGCUUCCUAAUCAUCAUGUGAACUACUUUCUUCAACUACAGUCUUCCACCAUAAUAUCUUGCCUCACCUUGAACCCCAAGGAAUGGAGCCAGCUACAUAUGGACUGAGACCUCUGAAACUGUGA
Molecule: long non-coding RNA, 35328 nt
Filed under: Marmota monax (woodchuck)
Lineage: Eukaryota; Metazoa; Chordata; Mammalia; Rodentia; Sciuridae
Rfam family: tRNA (bases 20741-20811)
Source: RNAcentral